RNAcentral lists this long non-coding RNA (1163 nucleotides) under Salmo salar (Atlantic salmon). RNAcentral's name for it is "lncRNA (ENSSSAG00000114234.1)". The record is from RNAcentral. Lineage: Eukaryota; Metazoa; Chordata; Actinopteri; Salmoniformes; Salmonidae.
CAAAUAUCCCCCCUGCCGCCCCCAAAAAACUGCUAACCUCCCUUGUUAUUGUAAUGGUGAGAGGUUAGCAUGUCUUGGGGGUAUGAUAUAAAAUGCUAACCUCCCCUGUUAUUGUAAUGGUGAGAGGUUAGCAUGUCUUGGGGUUAUGAUAUAAAAUGCUAACCUCCCUUGUUAUUGUAAUGGUGAGAGUUUAGCAUGUCUUGGGGGUAUGAUAUAAAAUGCUAACCUCCCUUGUUAUUGUAAUGGUGAGAGGUUAGCAUGUCUUGGGGGUAUGAUAUUUGUAAAAUAUAUGUAGCUAACCCACUGAGGUGGGUUUAUUAAACUAUCUGGCUAGGUGAAUUAUGCUAGUUUUUGUCCUCAUUGCCAAACUUCAUAAAUACUGCACCCUCAACUUCAAAACUCCCUUGCUAGUUAUACCUUCAUGUAACUAAGAAAUUUGCUGGAAAGAAACUUGAAAAUGAUUGAUUGUUUUAUUGUUUUGUUGACUAGUCAUGACUGGUCCGAGAUAUCUGUCGUAAGACUACGGUGGCGAAGGAUAUCAUUGCUACUUAACACGGAUACAAGUUCAGUUUGAGAUCCAGGGUAAGUGGAUCUUGGGUUAGGGUCAGUGUUAGGGUCAGUGUUAGGGUUAAGGCUUGGUUUAGGGUUGGGGCUCAGCUUAGCCUGUAUGAAUCAGAAGGUCUCUGGUUUGAAGGAUGUUGUUGUGACGCUCCACAGUUUGGGGGUCUGACAGCCCGAAGGAGAUCAGGGAUGAGUCCAGGUUAACAUAUUUAUAUUGGAAGUACUUGUUCUGGAACCAAGAACACAUUCCAACAACAGGACAACACCACUGGCAUUAGAACAGUUAACACUGAAUUAAAUCAGCCAAACUCCGUGGAUCCUUCCCCCCCCCAAGAAAAUAAUUUCUCUCCAUUGCGCUGAUCUGAAGCAAGUGACCAGGACAAAACCAGUCUGAUGAGGAGAAGUGACCAGGACAAAACCAGUAUGAUGAGAUGUGACCAGGACAAAACCAGUCUGAUGAGAAGUGACCAGGACAAAGCCAGUCUGAUAAGGAGAAGAGGAGAGGACAGAUUUUUAAGAAAAUGUGUCUGUGUGAUGUAACAAGCGAAGGCCAAUCUCUCUCUGUAUAUGUGUAGUGUAGAGUAGAGUAGAGUAGAGUAGGG